GCGCCCGUAGCUCAGUUGGAUAGAGCAACGGCCUUCUAAGCCGUGGGUCGCAGGUUCGAAUCCUGCCGGGUGCGCCA
RNAcentral lists this transfer RNA (77 nucleotides) under Idiomarina loihiensis. Its description in RNAcentral is "tRNA-Arg". It matches the Rfam family "tRNA". From Rfam's summary of the family: Transfer RNA (tRNA) molecules are approximately 80 nucleotides in length. Their secondary structure includes four short double-helical elements and three loops (D, anti-codon, and T loops). The record is from RNAcentral. RNAcentral also lists the same sequence under 21 other names. Lineage: Bacteria; Pseudomonadati; Pseudomonadota; Gammaproteobacteria; Alteromonadales; Idiomarinaceae.